This 174-nucleotide RNase P RNA is filed under the name Gammaproteobacteria bacterium. Its description in RNAcentral is "RNase P RNA component class A". It matches the Rfam family "Bacterial RNase P class A", at positions 45 to 217 of the family's 367-position model. Rfam says of the family: Ribonuclease P (RNase P) is a ubiquitous endoribonuclease, found in archaea, bacteria and eukarya as well as chloroplasts and mitochondria. Its best characterised activity is the generation of mature 5'-ends of tRNAs by cleaving the 5'-leader elements of precursor-tRNAs. Cellular RNase Ps are ribonucleoproteins. The record is from RNAcentral. Lineage: Bacteria; Pseudomonadati; Pseudomonadota; Gammaproteobacteria.
GGAAAGUCCGGGCUCCACAGGGCAGGGUGCCAGAUAACGUCUGGACGGUGCGAACCGAUGGAAAGUGCCACAGAAAACAUACCGCCCAACUGGUCCACCAGUGGGUAAGGGUGAAAAGGUGCGGUAAGAGCGCACCGCGUUCGUGGUAACACGAACGGCAGGGUAAACCCCACC